RNAcentral lists this microRNA precursor (71 nucleotides) under Bombyx mori (domestic silkworm). Its description in RNAcentral is "mir-2774 microRNA precursor family". It matches the Rfam family "mir-2774 microRNA precursor family". The record is from Rfam by way of RNAcentral. Lineage: Eukaryota; Metazoa; Arthropoda; Insecta; Lepidoptera; Bombycidae.
UGGACUUUGGACCGUCGGUUUACCGAGCAAAUUAAUAUCACCCGCUCGGUGGAAGAUCUUCCCUUUGUCGU